CAAUUUUGUCAAUAAAAAAAAGGUAGAAAGGGAAAGUGACCGACCAAAAUCAGCGACCGAGGUGAUCUGCAAAAUUCUCAAUCAUCAAAGAUCAAUACAACAAUAAUCUGAGUGCUUAGAUUAUCUGAUAGUUUUGCAAAGAUCAAUGGCUUCUCUUUAGGUUAGUUUCGAGCAUCCAUUUCCGUCAGAUCAGAUCCAGAUUAUGUUCAUGAAAGACAGCUAUAUCUAGCUAAUAUGAAUUCCGGACUCGUCUAUUCACAUCGAUAUAUAAUUAUCUCCGGAUGAGAAAGCAAGGAUUUUAACUUGGACGCAUCAUGCAACUUUGUAAGGUUAUUACUCUCUGAUAUAAGAGAAUGAAGGGCCAUUGCUUUCUGGAAAUGCUCUCUUAUCGUGUUAAAAGGUAAAUUCAGUGUUGAUGUGCUAUUUUUUUUUGUAUUGAAAAACUUAUUUAUAGAGGUCAUAGUCUCUUGGGGUUAGGUGGAUAGAAAAUUUGACAAUAGGUUUGUGAUCAGGCUAGAUUUUAAAAUUUGAGAAUAUCUUUUUUUUUUUUCAGAUUGUUAUGGAAUUAAUAUUUUAUAUGCAAUUAAUUUAGCAUCUAAAUUGGAAUAUGCUUUAUAGUUUUAUAAAUAAGUUUCCAAAAAUAUAGGGCUAGUUAAAAGCUUCGGAAAUUAGUAUAUGAUGUAUAUGGAAUAGUUUUCCAUACUAAAACAACUAAAUCACUUCGAUAAUUAGUAUCCGAUAUUUAUGAUUUGAAUAUAUGCGAAAUCUCAGAAUUACCGUAAAGAUAACGAUAAUGAUGAGAUUUCAAUCUUUGUUUGUUAUGGUUGUUUUCCAAAUGUGGAACCAAGAUUGUAAUCUUUUUAUUAUAUUGGACGAUUUUUAAUUGAUGAGAUUGAUAUUGUUAGAGGUGUAAUUAUUGGACGAUUUUUAAUAUGAUUCAAAUUAGGGAAUCCAAAGAGCGCUUAUGGUUGUU
Long non-coding RNA from Camelina sativa (false flax), 973 nucleotides. RefSeq lists it as uncharacterized. NCBI's taxonomy places the organism in Eukaryota, Viridiplantae, Streptophyta, Magnoliopsida, Brassicales, Brassicaceae. The record is from RefSeq and is a predicted model, not a curated record.